CCCAGUGAACGGCGGCCGUAACUAUAACGGUCCUAAGGUAGCGAAAUUCCUUGUCAGGUAAGUUCUGACCCGCACGAAAGGCGUAAUGAUUUGGGCACUGUCUCAACAGCCCGCCCGGCGAAAUUGUAGUACUGGUGAAGAUGCCAGUUACCCGCAACUAGACGGAAAGACCCCAUGGAGCUUUACUGUAGCUUAAUACUGGAAUUCGGUAAAUCAUGUACAGGAUAGGUGGGAGACUUGGAAACCAGGGCGUCAGCUUUGGCGGAGUCACCCUUGGGAUACCACCCUUGAUUUGCUGGGUUUCUAACCUGCGGCCGUGAAUCCGGUCGGGGGACACUGUUAGGCGGGCAGUUUGACUGGGGCGGUCGCCUCCUAAAGAGUAACGGAGGCGCUCAAAGGUUGGCUCAGCACGGACGGAAAUCGUGCAGUGAGUGUAAACGUAGAAGCCAGCCUAACUGCGAGACCGACGGGUCGAGCAGUAACGAAAGUUGGAGUUAGUGAUCCGGUGGUAUGUGAGUGGAAAUGCCAUCGCUCAACGGAUAAAAGCUACCCUGGGGAUAACAGGCUGAUCUCCCCCAAGCGUCCACAGCGACGGGGAGGUUUGGCACCUCGAUGUCGGCUCGUCACAUCCUGGGGCUGAAUUCGGUCCCAAGGGUUCGGCUGUUCGCCGAUUAAAGUGGCACGCGAGCUGGGUUCAGAACGUCGUGAGACAGUUCGGUCCCUAUCUGUUGCGGGCGUAAGAGAUUUGAAGGGAGCUGUCCUUAGUACGAGAGGACCGGGAUGGACGUACCUCUGGUGCACCAGUUGUCCUGCCAAGGGCAUAGCUGGGUAGCUAAGUACGGACGAGAUAAACGCUGAAAGCAUCUAAGCGUGAAACUCCCCCUAAGAUGAGAUCUCUCACCUCGAAAGAGGGUAAGGGCCCAGGAAGACUACCUGGUAGAUAGGCCGGAGGUGGAAGUGCAGUAAUGUAUGGAGCUGACCGGUACUAAUAGCCCGAGGGCUUGACCUA
RNAcentral lists this ribosomal RNA (1009 nucleotides) under human metagenome. RNAcentral's name for it is "bacterial LSU rRNA". It matches the Rfam family "Bacterial large subunit ribosomal RNA", at positions 1919 to 2925 of the family's 2925-position model. The record is from RNAcentral.